RNAcentral lists this ribosomal RNA (377 nucleotides) under uncultured eukaryote. Its description in RNAcentral is "partial 18S ribosomal RNA". It matches the Rfam family "Eukaryotic small subunit ribosomal RNA", at positions 592 to 976 of the family's 1831-position model. The record is from RNAcentral.
CAAUAGCGUAUAUUAAAGUUGUCGCAGUUAAAAAGCUCGUAGUUGGAUUUCGGGGCAGCCUGGCUGGUCCGCCGCAAGGCGAGUACUGGUCAGCCGCCCUUCCUCUCGAAAGCCCCGACUGCUCUUUAUUGCAGUGGUCGGGUAGUUCGGGACGUUUACUUUGAAAAAAUUAGAGUGUUCAAGGCAGGCCUACGCCUGAAUACAUUAGCAUGGAAUAAUGGAAGAGGACCUCGGUCCUAUUUUGUUGGUUUCCAGGACCGAAGUAAUGAUUAAGAGGGACAGUUGGGGGCAUUCGUAUUUAAUUGUCAGAGGUGAAAUUCUCGGAUUUAUGAAAGACGAACAACUGCGAAAGCAUUUGCCAAGGAUGUUUUCAUUAA